RNAcentral lists this ribosomal RNA (279 nucleotides) under uncultured bacterium. RNAcentral describes it as "partial 16S ribosomal RNA". It matches the Rfam family "Bacterial small subunit ribosomal RNA", at positions 781 to 1058 of the family's 1533-position model. The record is from RNAcentral.
GAUACCCGGGUAGUCCUAGCUGUAAACGAUGGAUACUAGAUGUUGCGCGUAUCGAUCCGUGCAGUAUCGUAGCUAACGCGUUAAGUAUCCCGCCUGGGAAGUAUGCUCGCAAGGGUGAAACUCAAAGGAAUUGACGGGGGCCCGCACAAGCGGUGGAGCAUGUGGUUUAAUUCGAUGCAACACGAAGAACCUUACCAGAACUUGACAUGCCAUGAAUCUUUAUGAAAGUAGAGAGUGCCUUAGGGAACAUGGACACAGGUGGUGCAUGGCCGCCGUCAG